GGAAUCUUCCACAAUGGGCGAAAGCCUGAUGGAGCAACGCCGCGUGUGUGAUGAAGGGUUUCGGGCUCGUAAAACACUGUUGUAAGAGAAGAAUGACAUUGAGAGUAACUGCUCAAUGUGUGACGGUAUCUUACCAGAAAGGAACGGCUAAAUACGUGCCAG
This 162-nucleotide ribosomal RNA is filed under the name uncultured bacterium. Its description in RNAcentral is "partial 16S rRNA". It matches the Rfam family "Bacterial small subunit ribosomal RNA", at positions 358 to 511 of the family's 1533-position model. The record is from RNAcentral.